Molecule: long non-coding RNA, 727 nt
Organism: Cuculus canorus (common cuckoo)
Lineage: Eukaryota; Metazoa; Chordata; Aves; Cuculiformes; Cuculidae
Exons: 3
Source: RefSeq, a predicted model, not a curated record
GAGAACUUUUGUUGGCCUGAAAAUAAGUCUCCAAAAAGCUGCUGGACCCCAAGGGGGUGGAUGACAGCCUGAGGACAACACCAAGCAGGGAAAGCUCAGAGACUGCAACUACAGAAUCUCAUAAAAUUAGAGAAGAACAAUGAACAGGAAAGCAUUAUUAGAAAAAUGGGCAAUUCAAGACACUUAAAAGCUGCUGUCAGACAUGAACAUUGCUAAUUUCAGGAGACAAGGGAGAAUCUGAAAUGUGGAACCUUUCUUUCGUCAGGAAAAUCAGAGAACCCUGAAGACAACAGAGCACAUGUGCAAAGAUUUGCUGCAUGUUGUACAGUCUCUGCUUAAAGCUUUCAAAUCUGUGUAACUUCUCUCUUGAACCAAGAGGACCUACAUGUGGAAAAAAAGACAUGCUUCAAAAUACAUAUUCGUUUUUUCAUGCUACUCUGGUGCCAACUUUAAAUCCACCCAAGCCUCCUCUUGCUGUUUUUACGCACAUGAGAUAGCACCUCAUGAUUGCUAUGUUACUACAAGGCUUUUCUUCCCAUUACACAACUCAACAGGCCAUUUUUUAACCAACAAAUGCCACCUGUCUGUACCAGCCAGGAUGCAGCCCACAGACAUGGCAGCUUCUUUCUCCACUUACCCAUUAGUUCAUAUUUUUUUUCUCAGCCAAAAUGCAUUAUUAAGCCUGCCCAUGCUGUAUUCAGUCCACACAAUAGCCAUUUGGUGUGAA